This 168-nucleotide small RNA is filed under the name Streptomyces sp. RNAcentral's name for it is "c-di-AMP sequence". It matches the Rfam family "c-di-AMP riboswitch aptamer (ydaO/yuaA leader)". Rfam says of the family: This family represents a conserved RNA structure found upstream of the ydaO and yuaA genes in Bacillus subtilis and related genes in other bacteria. The ydaO/yuaA element is thought to act as a genetic "off" switch for the ydaO and yuaA genes in its native state. It is believed that the element may be triggered during osmotic shock leading to activation of ydaO, a predicted amino acid transporter gene, and members of the yuaA-yubG operon which code for KtrA and KtrB K+ transporters. Lineage: Bacteria; Bacillati; Actinomycetota; Actinomycetes; Kitasatosporales; Streptomycetaceae. RNAcentral also lists the same sequence under 1 other name. The record is from RNAcentral.
UCGCGUAAAGCGCCGAAGGCAGGAGCGGGGGAACCAAGGUAGGCGCCGGGAACGACCGUUGAGAGACGGUCACGUACCGGCUAGGGGUUAAGUCACACACCACGUGUGGCCGGGCACUCACUCGCCCGAACCCGACAGCUCACCUCGUAGGCGUCGGUGAGGAGAACU